GAUGAAGAACGUAGCGAAAUGCGAUAAGUAAUGUGAAUUGCAGAAUUCAGUGAAUCAUCGAAUCUUUGAACGCACCUUGCGCUCCUUGGUAUUCCGAGGAGCAUGCCUGUUUGAGUGUCAUGAAAUUCUCAACCUUUUCAGCUUUCUUUGUUGAUCAGGCUUGGAUGUGGGAGUAUGCGGGCUUCUCAGAAGUCGGCUCUCCUGAAAUGCAUUAGCGGGACCUUUGUUGCCUGGCUUUGGUGUGAUAAUUAUCUACGCCAUUGUAGUCAAGCAGCUUAAAAUGAGGUUUCAGCUUCUAACCGUCUCCCCUGAGACAACUUUUUGACAAUUUGACCUCAAAUCAGGUAAGACUACCCGCUGAACUUAAGCAUAUCAAUAAGCGGAGGA
Molecule: unclassified non-coding RNA, 387 nt
Filed under: soil metagenome
Description: partial contains 5.8S ribosomal RNA, internal transcribed spacer 2, and large subunit ribosomal RNA
Rfam family: 5.8S ribosomal RNA (bases 1-120)
Source: RNAcentral